RNAcentral lists this ribosomal RNA (119 nucleotides) under Sphenodon punctatus (tuatara). The record is from RNAcentral. Lineage: Eukaryota; Metazoa; Chordata; Lepidosauria; Sphenodontia; Sphenodontidae.
GCCUACAGCCACACUGGACUGAACGCGCCCGAUUCCGUCUGAUCUCGGAAGCUAAGCAGUUCUGGGCCCAGCUAGUACCUGGAUGGGAGACUGCCUGGGAAUCCCAGGUGCCAUAGGCU